This 7598-nucleotide long non-coding RNA is filed under the name Gallus gallus (chicken). The record is from RNAcentral. Lineage: Eukaryota; Metazoa; Chordata; Aves; Galliformes; Phasianidae.
GAAAGAGUGUAACAAAUGAGAGUGAAGUGGACUUCAGCUUGUUGUCACAGCUUCAUAGCCGUGGGCUUUGGGGACGUUUGGCAAAGACACGAGCUGGUGGAAAAAGAAAUGUAACUCCGAAUGACAGUUCCAGGGUUUUUUUGUGAAGCAAUGGUGUGGACGCCACUGAUUUGUGUUUUAGGAAAUAACCUUUGAGGAUUGAACAGUAGACAUCGUUCAGCCUCUGGAGAACCUAUUAUAUCACCACUACGAUGCUUACUACAGAAAGGGAAAUAUUAUUCUAAAUGAUUUUUUUUUUCUCCUGUUUUGUAGUUUCUGAAAAUGCUUCCAGCUGUUCAAAUGUCUGAUGCUUUUUCCUUUCUUCUUUUUUCCUUUGGAGAGACUUUUAUUUUUCAGCAAAUAUGUGUACUUUCAGUAAUGUGAGAUCUCUCUUGUGACCAGCAGCGUAACUCUUCUUAAAUGUAAAAACCACUGCGAUCCUUUUCCAGCAUUCCUCACGUUCCCACUGGGGCUGCUGAGCUGGCUGCCUAAAAGUGGCUUUAGAGCCACUCCGUGUAACUCCGUGUCAUGCUUUUAAUCUGAAAGCGUUCCGUGUUUUGGAUUUCAGCUGCUACAGAAAAUAAGUAGUGAACAUCUUUCUUUGGAGGAAAUUAUAGCCUUAUGCAAUUCGGAGAUAAUAACAUGCAAUUAAGACAUACCGGAAAAAGCACACAUGGAUUACAUUUGAUAGUCUGAGGUGUCAGCUGUGCUUUUUUUUUUUCAUGUUUGAUGUGAUUGUUUUUCUGAUUCACCUACGGUAGACUGAAAUAACGCUUAAUAAUUGCUUUCUGGUAGAGUAAAUGCAACUGGAAUGGCAGCUGAGUAAAGAAGGGCAGGGAAGGGAAUGGAAACGGAGCAAGGAAAUGUUGAACGUAGGUCAGUAACCGGGCAUGAAAAAUGGUUGAUACAGAAGCAAAACAACCUCUGGGUUAGAAGCAGGGAGACUGCAGUGGGGUGUGUUUCUUCCAAGUGCACUCACAAAGUCUAACACGGCAGUUACAGCGCUGUCGCCAACAAAAAGGUGUUCAGGAAGAUUUCUGCUUUGUGUGCAAUGAAAAGCCAGGUGGAAUAACUCGAGCUUCAAACAUAAAAUCAACAUUUGAUGUUGAUAAAAUACCGAUUCUCAGAUGUGGAGUACCACCUUGUCCAGUGGGUCAAAUAUAAAUCAGUGUGCAAAAUUAAAAACGAAUGUCAUCGAAUGUAAGGGAGCUCAGUACCAGGGAUGAUAGUGAGGUGUGAGUGAAGAGUGUGUAUCACCAUAACAGUAGUGUUGAUGGCUCAGAAAGGAUGCAUUACAGAUUGCCAGAUGGUUAAAACACCGUAAUUGUGUUACAGAGUUUGAAAGGUUGAACAUUGGCCCUGUGAAUAAGAGUCUAAGCAGCUGAUAGUUGAGAUUAAAUACAUUUACUCCCAAGUUUUCUUUUUUGACAGCAGGGACAAAUGAGCACUGCAAUACAUGCAAAGGACUCUGCUCUUUGAUCAGCAUGAGACAUGUCCACCCAAACUGGGCAGUUUUCCUCAGAACCAUGCCAGAGGUUGGGUUCAUUCACAGAACCCCCAUAGCCUCAGUUCCACAUGUGGACAGACAUCUUUCCUGGUCCUGGGGGCUACAGAUGCAGUGUUUUUGGAAGGACUGCUCUCAGGGUUGCCAUCCUGCUCACAGCUUCGUGGCUAUGAAAGGGUUGAUAAGAGUUGAAAAAGCAGUGGGAGCCAAAGUGCUUCCUCGCUGCUUGUUAAGUGGGAGGCUCUGUGCAUAUGGCAUUUCAGAGUGCUUCUGGGCAAAGUAGUGGAGAUUUUCUUUUCCCAGAGCCAGGGAUUUAUUUACAUGGUGUUGGGAACAUGUUCAAGUGAGUGCUUUAGCCUGGCAUAUUCGCUGUAUGCCAAAAGAGGAAUAUUACAUUAAAAUGAGAAGACAACUUGAGAGCCUAAAAUGAACAAGUGCAGAAAGUGAACUCACGGGUUUCCCAGUGAGAAGCACCGUGGGAGCACUGCUGGUGUGCUUGGGGGGGGGGAGCGGAGCAGAUAAAAGAUAAGGCCGUAUAAAUCAGCCCGGCAGGACAACAGCGGCCCCUCUGAUCUGCCCCGGCUGAGAUUUGUUUGCCUUUCACAUUUCUGCGGCUGCUCUUCCCCAGACGACUCCUGAAGAGCAGCUCUGGAGCAGUGCAUUUGUAGGAAAUCACUGCAGCUUGUCAUUCGCAGGAAGGAUCCAAAAAAUCUGUUAAAAACAAAAAGCUUAAACCAGAAGCAAAGUGCUGGUAAAGAUCUGGUUGGUGCUUUGCUGGUCUGUAGUUUCAAAGACAGGGGAAUGUUGGUGGGAUAUCUGCUGCCAUGCAGUUGCCUGUAAGCCUGUAGCCUACGGGGCACCUUGCAGAUGGCUGGAAUUUGCCAUCUGGCAUCCUUUGUGACUGAGAGGAUGGACCACCCUGCACGUGGCUUUUCUCACUCCGGAAUACAGACUGCCAGAAAACAAAUUUCAGGCAUCCUCCUUUAAAUUCAAAGCACCUGGAAGCACCAAACUUACUCUUAUUUUGAAGGUUCCAUUUUUCAUUCAUUUUUUCCUGGCUGUCACAUGAGACUGAGUUUAUACAUUAAUAAAGAGUAACAUUUAGCUCUGUGAAAUGGUUACAGAAGGUGUUUUUAAUUAAUCUUCAGGACAUCUUAGGUUUUAGGAAGUGGCUUUUGGCAGCUGUCCCUUUGACUCCUUCCUUUACUCCUCAGCCACCACUGAAUGCCCCACUUCUCUGCUCUUACACCCAGCAGGUGGGAAGACGAGCAGGCAAGGAGUGCUGGGGCCAUGGCCAGGUCCUGGCGGUUGUAACAGCGUCAGAGGGAAGGCAAAAUGAAGGGUGGAACAUUACUCCCACCCUGCCUGUAGCCGGCACGUGUCCAUGCAGCCUGAAGUGAAUCUCUUGGUGGGAGGCAACACUGCGAGAGCGGGGCCUUGGAGGAAAUGUCCUGAAAGCCACCUGCUGAGAAGGCAGAGCACUGCCAAGUCGGUCACAGCCACUUGAUGUUGCGUACCAUGGGACAGCGGCUGACAGCGAGGUGUGGGCAGCUGCAUCUGAUGAACAGUAGGAGUUUAUUGAGUUGGCAUUUGAUUGUUGGCCCGUGUUUGGCAGAUGUCUGCAGCAACGCAUAACGUGAGGGUUGGGCAGGCACAUUGACAGUACAUGCUCCUAUGUACCCUUGCAUCUACUGAAUCACAGACUCACAGAGUGGUUUGAGUUGAAAGGAACUUUAAAGGCCAUCCAGUUCCAGCCUGUGCCAUGGGCAGUGACAGCCCCCACUACACAAUGGUACCCAAACGUGAAGGUGGAAUCCAACUAACUCACCUUGCCUUUCUUAUCAUGAAGCCAAGUGUUCGUCCACAAUACAUUUCCACUGUUCCAAUGAAGUUAAAGACCUGCACUACUUAUGGCUGUUGAGCAUUCUCUCCUGAUGCUCUUUGAAAGCACUGAGCUCCCAGGAGCUGAGCUGCAGGAUGGGCUCGGGGCAGCGAUGAGACGCACAGAGGCAUCUCAUUGAGCAUAUGGGAGGAAAUGAGAAGUGAUCUCAUAUCUUCCCAUGGGGUUUAGAAGUAAGAAAGACAGCAAAAGUGACUUGAAUGUCUUAAAAUGUCUCUCUUCGCAUCCAGAAGAAUACAGUCGCAGCAAAGUCAUUUUAUAAGAGAGCCCUAGCGGAUACAAGUGAUACGGCAACUCUUAUAACACUCUAAAACAUCUAUAAAAUUAAUUAUACGUGUUAUCAAAAUGAUUCAUACCAGCCGUGGUAAAUCCCAUUCAUUACAAGUGAGAGUUUAAGUCACAGUUCGCUGCCUCUUAACAGCUGCACAAAUAGAGCGCACUGUCGCCAUGGGGUUGAAAAAGGGAUAGCAUGUCACCUUUCAAAUUUCAUAAGAAUGUGAGAUGUAAUUGCACGCUUCGAGACAGAGGCAGUACUUCUGGGAUCUGUAACCCAGCUCAGUUGUCAGAGACAGGAAAACAAAUAAGCAGAACAUAAAAAAGCCUCCCAUGUUAAGAGAUGGCUUUAACCGCAGAGGCUUUCCGAUCAGACCUGUUUCCUCGCCAUCCUUCUUAUUUUCCCAUAACUUGAAGAAUAAGUGAGUUUAAUUUUUGCCUCGCCCUGGCCUGCCGCCAGCCUGCUGAGCAUGUCCCUGGAGCAGGGAGGAACUGCAUGUCUGCUGUACAGCUCUGCUGAACCCAGCUAACACCGCGGGUCGUCUGCUCCGCACAGCGCUGGCUUGCUGGCGGUGUUUUCCCUAAAUAGGGAUUAAGAUAACUUGUUCUACUUAAUCAAAUUAGUUAUCUUUGAUUCAAUCAGGUUUUUAAGCCAAAUUCCCAAGACAAGGUGGUUUUAGUAGUUUGUUUGGUUUGUAAUCUGUUUUCCAACAUAAUCUGCUUAAUUCUUUUUCUGUAUUUGCUUUCUGGCUGUCUCAAAUGUAUGUGUAAAAAGGAUGUUGGCUGGCUUGAUACAGGGAAAUAGCUAACUUAGCGUUCAACCUCUUGACAGUUCCUCACUCCAUCAGGAAGCCAUUCCGUCUUCCAAGUCUCUCCCUGGGUCAGUCAGGAGUACCAGUCUAGCUGAUCUGCGGGCUGUGUUUCAUUGGGUUUAUUCCAGUUCUUUUCUUCCUCUGCUUCACAUUUGUUUCUCAUCCUGCCUCUCACCCCCAGCUCUAUCUGCUUCAUCUCCCAUGUGAGGGAAGGCUGAGUAACCUGGGUCUGUUCAACCUGGGCAAAAGAAGACUGAGGGGGGAUCUGUUUGAUGUUUAAAAAUAUCUGAAAGGAGGUGGGAGGCAAAUAGAUGAGGCCAGGCUCUUCUCAGUGGUGUGUAGCAAAGGGACAAGGAACAGUGGCCUAAAAUAUGAACAUAAGAAGUUCCUUACUAACAGGCAGAACUUCUUUACGGUGAAGAUGACGAAGCACUGGAACAGGCUGCCCAGAGAGGUUGUGCAGUCUCCUUCUAUGGAGGUAUUGAAGACCCAUCUGGACACCUACCUGUGCGACCUACUGUAGGGAAGCUGCUUUAGCAGGGGGUUGGGCUCAAUGAUCUCUUGAGGUCCCUUCCAACUCCUGCAAUUCUGUGAUUCUGUAGUUUUGGAAAAAAAAAAAAAAAAAAGAAAAGAAAAUUCAGUUUUUUCUGCCUAUCAUCAACCAACACACUGGCCCUUCUGGACACGUUCCUGGCCGCCCAGCUCUGGGCGUCCUGCAGGAGGGGGUUGGACCAGGUGACCUCCAGAAGUCCCUUCCAACCCCAACCACCCUGAAAGUCUGUAAAAGCUCAAGUCUUAUCAGAGCUCUUUCUCUCUUUAUCGGGACCCUUUAUGCCAACUGAAAGCAUUUCGAAUUCCAGCCACCACAUCCUAGAUAACAGGUCGUUUCUGUGUAACCAGUUCAGAAAGGCAGGACUCGUUUAAAUAAACAGGACCUUUGAGCACUCCUCUUACUUUUUCAUUGCUCCCCUAGGUUUUUAGGCUGGUUUGCAGCAGAAAUGGGACACACAGCCAUGCUUUACCUCUGUUUUCUCCAAUAAUUUUUCGAAUCCAUUCUUUCAAAGAGCUAAAAGUCAAAAAGAUGCUGAUGGAUCUUUGGAGAGAGGAGAUGGAGGCAUUCCUUCACGCUGUGAGCUCCUCUCUGCCAGAGGACCUGGGGGGGAGUGAUGACCUUUUGGUGCUACAGCUCUCCACAGAAGGAGGUCCAUCCAUGCUCUCAGCCAACCAAUAGACCACACAUUUACAUUUCAUUAGCCCUGGUGCUCUGAUGAAGUUUUCAAGGGCCAACAUUAGUAUGACACUGGCUUUUCCUGGGAGCUGUUAGAGGUGAGACCUACACAAACAGCUGCUUUAUUGAGACCUGAAACGGCGACAGCAUUGUGCACAUGGAAGUGGGAGAUAUACAUAGGUGGAGCUGGUGGUUUGGCUGACAUCCCAGAAUUUUAUUUCAUCUCUCUCUAAAUGCUGGGCAAAUGAUUGAGUGGGUGAGAAGCUUUGCUUUCCUGCCUGUCUGUCGGAGAAAAGUCCUCCUCGUGCCAAAUCCCCUGAGCUAGCGCUAGGGCCCUCCCUUUUAAUCUGUUGCUGCCUCCACUUUCACUGACCCGAAACCUGAUUUUGUUAAUCCUUUAGUUUACCUUUGAAUAUAUUUUCUUUGUUUUUUUUUCUUUCUGAAUCCACUCAGAAAAGGAUUUGAGUCCUCCCUGCCCAAGAAUACUCAGCUCAGAGGAAAUUCCCCAGAUAAAUUUCAUCAUUAGGAAAAACUUCUCCAAAAGAGUGGUUGGGCAAUGGAACAGACUGCCCAGGGAAGUGGGGGAGUCACUGUCCCCGGGGACGUCCAAGAAACAUAUAGGUGUGGUACUUAGGGACAAAGUUGAGUGGGCAAUACUGGUGUAGGUGGACAGCUGGACUAGGCAAUUGGAGAGGCCUUUUCCAACCUUAACAAUUCUAUGCUUAUAUGUUCAGGCUGACUUACCCUAAAGAGAAACCCCACCUGGAAAGUAACCAGCGCUGUCACCCCCAGUGUAAAUGGUGUCUGUUUGGCCAGUGUGUUUCUGUCUGCCCUUUUGGUACACAGCUAUGGGAAGCGCAUAGGUCUUUGCAAGCUGGUGACCAAUUGGGUGACCAAUGGCAGCACCCAGCAGGAGCUACGAGGUCAACAUUGCUGCCUAGCCCUGUUGGCAAAGCUUGAGGCAAAACCUGACACCCAUGGCAAGUCAUUCCCCUGACUUAUAUUUGCUUUUUUUUCUGCCCACACCAUAAACUGGUGCAUCUUGCACCAAUGCAUCCUGCUAUGCCUUGCUAGUUGUGCAAAUGCUGACACAAAGAUAGAUGAGUCUGUCAGGGUGGGUGUGCAUCUGUCUGUAACCUCUCUCUUUUUGUUAGUACUGCUCUGGUGCUGUUAGCACCAUUAAAAGUGUUAAACAAACAAUAUGCAGAAUAUUAAAGGAAUUUUCACCUGCAAUCUGACUUUCAGAAAUACCAGGGGUGCUCCAGAGCACUGAAGGUUGGUGUGUUGGGUGUCAUUAUGAGACUUCAGGGAGUCCCAUUUUCCCACUCUGGGAAAUGUUUGGAUUUUAAUGGUGAGGAUCUAACAUGGAUGUUUGAUUGAGAGGGUAUUGCAGAUGUUAUUCACUGACUGCUAUUCGAUUUGCAUUACUGUCUAUGCUUGAUGGAGCGAGAUGCAGCUCCAUUUUUAUGAAAGCACGGGGGAUGAUGUGUGUUAGAAUUUCACUUCAGUGGCUGCUAUUGCACGGUGCUCAUAAGUGCGUAGAAGCAUUUGCAGCCAAAACCUGUGAGGAUGGGUGGGGUUCAGUGGAAUUAUUUCCAUCUGGGUAAUGCAAAAUGUACUGUAAUAGAAAAGUCUUUGUACUUUGUUAAAACGCGACUUUCUUACAAUUAGAUUUUAAGAACUAUUUUUCUAAAAACGAGCAAUCCGAUUUUCUUUUCUUUUCUUUUUUUCUUUUCCCUGAAAAGAAUCCUAAUUCUUUGCUAACAUCCAACAUCUGCAGACAUCCCGAGGCAGCCAAAGCCCACCAGAAGCUACAAAAAGGGCAACUCCCUCACCCCCAGC